GAUGAACGCUGGCGGCGUGCCUAAUACAUGCAAGUCGAGCGAACGGACGAGAAGCUUGCUUCUCUGAUGUUAGCGGCGGACGGGUGAGUAACACGUGGAUAACCUACCUAUAAGACUGGGAUAACUUCGGGAAACCGGAGCUAAUACCGGAUAAUAUUUUGAACCGCAUGGUUCAAAAGUGAAAGACGGUCUUGCUGUCACUUAUAGAUGGAUCCGCGCUGCAUUAGCUAGUUGGUAAGGUAACGGCUUACCAAGGCAACGAUGCAUAGCCGACCUGAGAGGGUGAUCGGCCACACUGGAACUGAGACACGGUCCAGACUCCUACGGGAGGCAGCAGUAGGGAAUCUUCCGCAAUGGGCGAAAGCCUGACGGAGCAACGCCGCGUGAGUGAUGAAGGUCUUCGGAUCGUAAAACUCUGUUAUUAGGGAAGAACAUAUGUGUAAGUAACUGUGCACAUCUUGACGGUACCUAAUCAGAAAGCCACGGCUAACUACGUGCCAGCAGCCGCGGUAAUACGUAGGUGGCAAGCGUUAUCCGGAAUUAUUGGGCGUAAAGCGCGCGUAGGCGGUUUUUUAAGUCUGAUGUGAAAGCCCACGGCUCAACCGUGGAGGGUCAUUGGAAACUGGAAAACUUGAGUGCAGAAGAGGAAAGUGGAAUUCUAUGUGUAGCGGUGAAAUGCGCAGAGAUAUGGAGGAACACCAGUGGCGAAGGCGACUUUCUGGUCUGUAACUGACGCUGAUGUGCGAAAGCGUGGGGAUCAAACAGGAUUAGAUACCCUGGUAGUCCACGCCGUAAACGAUGAGUGCUAAGUGUUAGGGGGUUUCCGCCCCUUAGUGCUGCAGCUAACGCAUUAAGCACUCCGCCUGGGGAGUACGACCGCAAGGUUGAAACUCAAAGGAAUUGACGGGGACCCGCACAAGCGGUGGAGCAUGUGGUUUAAUUCGAAGCAACGCGAAGAACCUUACCAAAUCUUGACAUCCUCUGACCCCUCUAGAGAUAGAGUUUUCCCCUUCGGGGGACGGAGUGACAGGUGGUGCAUGGUUGUCGUCAGCUCGUGUCGUGAGAUGUUGGGUUAAGUCCCGCAACGAGCGCAACCCUUAAGCUUAGUUGCCAUCAUUAAGUUGGGCACUCUAAGUUGACUGCCGGUGACAAACCGGAGGAAGGUGGGGAUGACGUCAAAUCAUCAUGCCCCUUAUGAUUUGGGCUACACACGUGCUACAAUGGACAAUACAAAGGGUAGCGAAACCGCGAGGUCAAGCAAAUCCCAUAAAGUUGUUCUCAGUUCGGAUUGUAGUCUGCAACUCGACUACAUGAAGCUGGAAUCGCUAGUAAUCGUAGAUCAGCAUGCUACGGUGAAUACGUUCCCGGGUCU
Molecule: ribosomal RNA, 1372 nt
Filed under: uncultured bacterium
Lineage: Bacteria
Description: bacterial SSU rRNA
Rfam family: Bacterial small subunit ribosomal RNA
Source: RNAcentral